CAGAUUGUGGUCUCCCAGAAGAUGGGCA
RNAcentral lists this non-coding RNA (28 nucleotides) under Rattus norvegicus (Norway rat). Lineage: Eukaryota; Metazoa; Chordata; Mammalia; Rodentia; Muridae. The record is from RNAcentral.